Molecule: ribosomal RNA, 253 nt
Filed under: uncultured bacterium
Lineage: Bacteria
Description: partial 16S ribosomal RNA
Rfam family: Bacterial small subunit ribosomal RNA
Source: RNAcentral
UACGUAGGGGGCAAGCGUUGUCCGGAUCUAUUGGGCGUAAAGAGCGUGUAGGCGGCCAGGUAGGUCAGCUGUGAAAACUCGAGGCUCAACCUCGAGACGUCGGUUGAAACCACCUGGCUAGAGUCCGGAAGAGGAGAGUGGAAUUCCUGGUGUAGCGGUGAAAUGCGCAGAUAUCAGGAAGAACACCCGUGGCGAAGGCGGCUCUCUGGGACGGUACUGACGCUGAGACGCGAAAGCGUGGGGAGCGAACAGG